This 75-nucleotide transfer RNA is filed under the name Pseudomonadota bacterium. RNAcentral describes it as "tRNA-Arg". It matches the Rfam family "tRNA". From Rfam's summary of the family: Transfer RNA (tRNA) molecules are approximately 80 nucleotides in length. Their secondary structure includes four short double-helical elements and three loops (D, anti-codon, and T loops). Lineage: Bacteria; Pseudomonadati; Pseudomonadota. The record is from RNAcentral. RNAcentral also lists the same sequence under 2 other names.
GCUCCGGUAGCUCAACUUGGAUAGAGCAGUGCCCUCCUAAGGCAAAGAUUCUGGGUUCAAAUCCCAGCCGGAGCA